UACGUAGGUGGCAAGCGUUGUCCGGAAUUAUUGGGCGUAAAGCGCGCGCAGGCGGUUUCUUAAGUCUGAUGUGAAAGCCCACGGCUCAACCGUGGAGGGUCAUUGGAAACUGGGGAACUUGAGUGCAGAAGAGGAGAGUGGAAUUCCACGUGUAGCGGUGAAAUGCGUAGAGAUGUGGAGGAACACCAGUGGCGAAGGCGACUCUCUGGUCUGUAACUGACGCUGAGGCGCGAAAGCGUGGGGAGCGAACAGG
RNAcentral lists this ribosomal RNA (253 nucleotides) under Metabacillus halosaccharovorans. Its description in RNAcentral is "partial 16S ribosomal RNA". It matches the Rfam family "Bacterial small subunit ribosomal RNA", at positions 524 to 776 of the family's 1533-position model. The record is from RNAcentral. RNAcentral also lists the same sequence under 1 other name. Lineage: Bacteria; Bacillati; Bacillota; Bacilli; Caryophanales; Bacillaceae.